This is a small nuclear RNA of 54 nucleotides. Its record names the gene U7. It matches the Rfam family "U7 small nuclear RNA". From Rfam's summary of the family: Animal histone pre-mRNAs are spliced by a different mechanism than nuclear pre-mRNAs and self-splicing introns. This processing involves the U7 snRNP, which contains only one RNA species: U7. The 5' end of U7 RNA is thought to base-pair to a conserved spacer element downstream of the cleavage site in histone pre-mRNA. The record is from Ensembl.
GAAAAUUUGUUCUUUUAGUAUUUGUCCAGUAGGCUUCUCAGAGAGGAAGCCCCA